Molecule: ribosomal RNA, 286 nt
Filed under: uncultured bacterium
Lineage: Bacteria
Description: partial 16S ribosomal RNA
Rfam family: Bacterial small subunit ribosomal RNA
Source: RNAcentral
AACGAACGCUGGCGGCAGGCCUAAAACAUGCAAGUCGAGCGCCCAGCAAUGGGAGCGGCGGACGGGUGAGUAACACGUGGGAAUGUACCUUUCGGUGCGGAACAACUCAGGGAAACUUGAGCUAAUGCCGCAUACGCCUACGGGAAGAUUAUCGCCGAAGAUCAGCCCGCGUUGGAUUAGCUUGUUGGUGAGGUAAUGGCUCACCAAGGCGACGAUCCAUAGCUGGUGUAGAGAACGACCAGCCACACUGGGACUGAGACACGGCCCACGACUCCUACGGGAGGGC